ACGGAAGGCAGCAGUGGGGAAUAUUGCACAAUGGGCGCAAGCCUGAUGCAGCAACGCCGCGUGAGCGAUGAAGGUCUUCGGAUCGUAAAGCUCUGUCCUUGAGGACGAAUAAUGACGGUACUCUUGGAGGAAGCCCCGGCUAACUACGUGCCAGCAGCCGCGGUAAUACGUAGGGGGCGAGCGUUAUCCGGAAUUAUUGGGCGUAAAGAGUACGUAGGUGGUUUCGUAAGCGUAGGGUGAAAGCCCGGGGCUUAACUCCGGUUAGCCUUACGAACUGCGAGACUUGAGUGCAGGAGGGGAAAGUGGAAUUCCUGGUGUAGCGGUGAAAUGCGUAGAUAUCAGGAGGAACACCGGUGGCGAAGGCGACUUUCUGGACAGAAACUGACGUUGAGGCACGAAAGUGUGGGGAGCAAACAGGAUUAGAUACCCUGGUA
Molecule: ribosomal RNA, 434 nt
Filed under: uncultured Anaerovorax sp.
Lineage: Bacteria; Bacillati; Bacillota; Clostridia; Peptostreptococcales; Anaerovoracaceae
Description: bacterial SSU rRNA
Rfam family: Bacterial small subunit ribosomal RNA
Source: RNAcentral